This 253-nucleotide ribosomal RNA is filed under the name uncultured bacterium. RNAcentral's name for it is "partial 16S ribosomal RNA". It matches the Rfam family "Bacterial small subunit ribosomal RNA", at positions 524 to 776 of the family's 1533-position model. The record is from RNAcentral.
UACGGAGGGUGCAAGCGUUAUCCGGAUUCACUGGGUUUAAAGGGUGCGUAGGAGGGCAGGUAAGUCAGUGGUGAAAUCCCCGAGCUUAACUUGGGAACUGCCGUUGAUACUAUCUGUCUUGAAUAUUGUGGAGGUAAGCGGAAUAUGUCAUGUAGCGGUGAAAUGCUUAGAUAUGACAUAGAACACCGAUUGCGAAGGCAGCUCACUACGCGGUCAUUGACGCUGAGGCACGAAAGCGUGGGGAGCAAACAGG